CCUACGGGAGGCAGCAGUGGGGAAUAUUGGGCAAUGGGCGCAAGCCUGACGCAGCAACGCCGCGUGAAGGAAGAAGGCUUUCGGGUUGUAAACUUCUUUUGUCAGGGAAGAGUAGAAGACGGUACCUGCCGAAUAAGCCACGGCUAACUACGUGCCAGCAGCCGCGGUAAUACGUAGGUGGCAAGCGUUGUCCGGAUUUACUGGGUGUAAAGGGCGUGUAGCCGGGUUGACAAGUCAGAUGUGAAAUCCUGGGGCUUAACCGCAGAACUGCAUUUGAAACUGUUGAUCUUGAGUACUGGAGAGGCAGACGGAAUUCCUAGUGUAGCGGUGAAAUGCGUAGAUAUUAGGAGGAACACCAGUGGCGAAGGCGGGCUGCUGGACAGCAACUGACGGUGAGGCGCGAAAGCGUGGGGAGCAAACAGGAUUAGAUACCCCGGUAGUC
RNAcentral lists this ribosomal RNA (442 nucleotides) under uncultured bacterium. RNAcentral describes it as "partial 16S ribosomal RNA". It matches the Rfam family "Bacterial small subunit ribosomal RNA", at positions 338 to 795 of the family's 1533-position model. The record is from RNAcentral.